UUUUGAAAAAAGAUACUGCAACCAUUGUAUUUUUAGCUAAAUAGAUCGCUUUUAAUCUCUCUCUUUAAAUGCCCUCUUCAAAAAUUGCUUUAUUUCAGACCAACAUAUAAAUAUGUAUGUUACAAAGAUAAUUGUGAAACCAUGAAUGUCUUAUUUCGGCAUAUGCUUCACUUAGAUUAAUUUCAGAAAUAAACUUUUUCAUAAGAUUCACUCAUAUCUAAUAUGCUUAGACGAUACACAAUUCUACAGAUAAAAACAUUAUGCACCAGAAAAUAACAUAAAAACUUAAUUUGUGUUAAUUUUUCAUCUUAAUUUAGCAAACCUGCAUAUGUUCGUUAAAUUUUAAAACACUGUUAAUCAAGAGGAAAAUCAAGAACUAAAUGCUAUCGACAACAUUGUUAAAACAGAUGGAAGUUUUAAAAUCGUUCCUCACGUAAUGUAUAGCGAGAGAAACAUUUCGAAGAAAAUUCUUUGAAAAAUAUUUAAAAAUUUAAAAUAUUAAAUGGAAAUCACAUCUUUUUUAAAUAAUCAUGACUAGAAGAUAUAGUUAACAAUGUGUCUCCUCUUUAAGAACGGAUUAAGUACCAGUUUUUGUCGUGAUUUUCAUAUUUACAUAUGCUCGCCGUACCACCAUUUAAACCAUUCCAUACUAUUACUACGGAUAUAAAUCAAAUUUUCGAUUGCUAAAUAGGCAUCAAGCAUUUAUUUCAAGAUGAAUUUCAAUUUCUUUAAAAUUGUUUUCGCCACUGGAAUUUUUCUUCUGUUUUUACUUUCUGAAGUAAAUGGAGGAGUUGGACUAGGGAAAAGAAGGGAGACAAGAAAGGUGAUGGAAGGUAUGGAAGAAGUUUUUUAUGGUUAAGCAUCUGACACCAUGACCUUCAAGAAAAUAAUCUGAUUAAAUCAAGAAACUAACAUUGUGUUUAAGAUAUUAAAUAAAUGAUUUUGCAUAAUUAAUAA
This is a long non-coding RNA of Parasteatoda tepidariorum (common house spider), 957 nucleotides long. RefSeq lists it as uncharacterized. Lineage: Eukaryota; Metazoa; Arthropoda; Arachnida; Araneae; Theridiidae. The record is from RefSeq and is a predicted model, not a curated record.